Molecule: ribosomal RNA, 510 nt
Filed under: Eupilumnus africanus
Lineage: Eukaryota; Metazoa; Arthropoda; Malacostraca; Decapoda; Oziidae
Description: partial 16S ribosomal RNA
Rfam family: Bacterial large subunit ribosomal RNA
Source: RNAcentral
UUUCAUGUUAUAAAUAGUCGGGCCUGCUCACUGAUAAAUAAAUUAUUUAAGAGCCGCAGUAUUUUGACCGUGCAAAGGUAGCAUAAUCAUUAGUUUCUUAAUUGGAAACUCGUAUAAAGGGUCGGACAAAGGAGGAGCUGUCUAUAUUACAAAAUUUAAUUUAGCUUUUAAGUGAAAAUACUUAAAUACCUCGGGGGGACGAUAAGAACCUAUAAAGCUUUAUAUGUUAGUUAAAUUUCAUUGAAUUAUUAUUUAUAAGAAUUUAAUUUAGGUAUCAUAUUUUAUUGGGGCGAUAAAGAUAUAAGUUUUAUAACUGUUAAUAUUAAGAACAAUGAUAGCUGGGUUUGAAAAUAAAUUAUCCUUUUUUAUGAUUAAAAGAUCAAAUUACUUUAGGGAUGACAGUGUUAUUUCUUUUAAGAGUUCAUAUCGAAAAAGAAGUUUGCGACCUCGAUGUUGAAUUAAAUUGUCUAUAUCGUGUAGCCGUUAUAUAAGAAGGUCUGUUCGACCUUU